ACGGGAGGCAGCAGUGGGGAAUUUUGGACAAUGGGGGCAACCCUGAUCCAGCAAUGCCGCGUGUGUGAAGAAGGCCUUCGGGUUGUAAAGCACUUUUGUCCGGAAAGAAAACUUCGGGGUUAAUACCCCUGGAGGAUGACGGUACCGGAAGAAUAAGCACCGGCUAACUACGUGCCAGCAGCCGCGGUAAUACGUAGGGUGCGAGCGUUAAUCGGAAUUACUGGGCGUAAAGCGUGCGCAGGCGGUCCGCUAAGACCGAUGUGAAAUCCCCGGGCUUAACCUGGGAACUGCAUUGGUGACUGGCGGGCUAGAGUAUGGCAGAGGGGGGUAGAAUUCCACGUGUAGCAGUGAAAUGCGUAGAGAUGUGGAGGAAUACCGAUGGCGAAGGCAGCCCCCUGGGCCAAUACUGACGCUCAUGCACGAAAGCGUGGGGAGCAAACAGGAUUAGAUACCCUGGUAGUCCACGCCCUAAACGAUGUCAACUAGUUGUCGGGUCUUCAUUGACUUGGUAACGUAGCUAACGCGUGAAGUUGACCGCCUGGGGAGUACGGUCGCAAGAUUAAAACUCAAAGGAAUUGACGGGGACCCGCACAAGCGGUGGAUGAUGUGGAUUAAUUCGAUGCAACGCGAAAAACCUUACCUACCCUUGACAUGUAUGGAAUCCUGCUGAGAGGUGGGAGUGCCCGAAAGGGAGCCAUAACACAGGUGCUGCAUG
This 715-nucleotide ribosomal RNA is filed under the name Paraburkholderia sp. Its description in RNAcentral is "bacterial SSU rRNA". It matches the Rfam family "Bacterial small subunit ribosomal RNA", at positions 341 to 1047 of the family's 1533-position model. The record is from RNAcentral. Lineage: Bacteria; Pseudomonadati; Pseudomonadota; Betaproteobacteria; Burkholderiales; Burkholderiaceae.